ACUCUGUCACUAAGCCACCUCAUACCAUUUAGGUUUUAUAACAUUGGUCAGAAGUGCUUAGUCAAAUAUUUUGAGAGCAUUUUUUCAAGUCUGCUCAGCCAAGAGAAUUCUUAAAUGAGGAUUGGUAGAGGGGCUGAAGCAGGUGUGGAGGGGCCAUAGCUGUCAUGAGAGAGAAGCUGCCUGGUCAGAGACUAGAAAUGUCCCCCUUUCUGGUGGCAGCAUCCUGAGUCAGGUGAGAAGGAUGCUUAACCCAAGAUGACAGGACUCAUGCAACUGAGGGCUACCUGGAGAGCUACUCAGCACUUUAACGUGUCUUAUGGGGGAAAAUUCAUCUCCCUGUGUAUUAAAAGUGAUCAAACGGGAAAAAGUAAGUGAGUAAUGAUGUUUGAAGCUGUGAAGUAGAAUGUUCUGAACUAUGGGAAGAAAGCUCAUAUAACCUUUAAGCCAGUCUCCUCUCUACUGCUUGGCAAAGUGUUAAAGACAUUUUUUUUUUUUUUUUCUUUUCCAAGGACUUUUACAAGUGGAUUGAUGUUUGACUAAAUCAGACUCUGGACUGUGCUGCCAAUUUUCACUGCCUACUCACUGUGGGGGCUGUGGAGUAAUUCUAACAAAAAAGACUGUCUACUAAAAAGAAUAAAACUUCAAAUAGGAAAGACCGCAUCCCCUUUUCUAAUGAGGAAGUCAGAAAAUAAGACGAGAUUUGGCAAGCCCCAACUUGAGAAAUGGAAGCAAAGGAUGUAACUAGAAACCAUCUCAGAAAUCUAAUCAGCCUCACAAGCCUACAUAAAUCAGCAAAAGGAAAUUUGGCCUGGCAGAAGAGACAGAUUACAGAUCACAGCUGCAGAAUCUAAAAUUCCUGAUCAAACGGAUCAACAAUGUAAAGAAGCACAUACAUUUGUAAAAGGUUCAGUGGCUUUAUCUUGGGAUCUUUCUAAAUAAAGAAUCCCUCUACCAGAUCCA
Molecule: long non-coding RNA, 960 nt
Filed under: Felis catus (domestic cat)
Lineage: Eukaryota; Metazoa; Chordata; Mammalia; Carnivora; Felidae
Description: lncRNA (ENSFCAG00000041867.2)
Source: RNAcentral